UAAUACAGAGGGUGCAAGCGUUAAUCGGAAUUAUUGGGCGUAAAGCGAGUGUAGGUGGUACACCAAGUCAGUCGUGAAAACCCCGGGCUCAACCUGGGAACUGCGAUUGAAACUGUUGAACUAGAGUGUGGAAGAGGGGAGUGGAAUUUCCGGUGUAGCGGUGAAAUGCGUAGAUAUCGGAAGGAACAUCAGUGGCGAAGGCGACUUCCUGGUCCAACACUGACACUCAGACUCGAAAGCGUGGGGAGCAAACAGG
Molecule: ribosomal RNA, 256 nt
Filed under: uncultured bacterium
Lineage: Bacteria
Description: partial 16S ribosomal RNA
Rfam family: Bacterial small subunit ribosomal RNA
Source: RNAcentral